RNAcentral lists this ribosomal RNA (1429 nucleotides) under metagenome. Its description in RNAcentral is "bacterial LSU rRNA". It matches the Rfam family "Bacterial large subunit ribosomal RNA", at positions 1512 to 2925 of the family's 2925-position model. The record is from RNAcentral.
UCAAACGCGUAGGACGUUGAAGGGUGUAGGUAAGUCCGCACCCCCGAGUCCGAAACGUGAUGGCGGUGCCUUAGAGCCACAAGUGAUUGAGCCAUGCCGCCUAGAAAAGCUUCUAAGCGUUGAUAUUUGAGUGACCGUACCGCAAACCGACACUGGUAGGUGGGUAGAAUAUACCAAGGGGAGCGAGAGAACCUUCGUUAAGGAAUUAGGCAAAUUUCCCCCGUACGUUCGCAAUAAGGGGGGCCUCUGGUGGUGAGCUUAAUCGCAAAGCUGCUGGAGGCCGCAGAGAAAUGGCUCUUCCAACUGUUUAACAAAAACACAGGUCUCUGCUAAGUCGAAAAACGAAGUAUAGGGGCUGACGCCUGCCCAGUGCUGGAAGGUUAAGGGGAGAGGUUAGGCGCAAGCCGAAGCUUUGAGCCGAAGCCCCAGUGAACGGCGGCCGUAACUAUAACGGUCCUAAGGUAGCGAAAUUCCUUGUCGGGUAAGUUCCGACCCGCACGAAUGGCGUAAUGAGAGGAGCACUGUCUCAACGAGGGACUCGGCGAACAUUGAAGGACGUGUGAAGAUACACGUGACCCGCAGCGGGACAAAAAGACCCCGUGAAGCUUUACUACAACUUGCCAUUGAGUUAGGGCUAAACCUGUGUAGUAUAGGUGGGAGGCUUUGAAGCUGGGACGCCAGUCUCGGUGGAGCCACCGUUGAAAUACCACCCUGGUUUAUUCUUGGCUCUAACCUGUCGCCGUUAUCCGGCAUGGGAACAGUGGCUGGUGGGUAGUUUGACUGGGGCGGUCGCCUCCGAAAGCGUAACAGAGGCGCCCAAAGGUUCCCUCAGGCUGAAUGGAAACCAGCCGUUGAGUGUAAAGGCACAAGGGAGCUUGACUGCAAGACCAACAAGUCGCGCAGGGACGAAAGUCGGGCUUAGUGAUCCCACGGUUCAGAGUGGAAUGGCCGUGGCUUACCGGAUAAAAGCUACUCCGGGGAUAACAGGGUAGUCUGGUCCAAGAGUUCAUAUCGACGACCAGGUUCGCCACCUCGAUGUCGGCUCAUCACAUCCUGGGGCUGGAUAAGGUCCCAAGGGUUGGGCUGUUCGCCCAUUAAAGUGGUACGUGAGCUGGGUUCAGACCGUCGUGAGACAGGUCGGUCUCUAUCCGCUGUGGGCGUAAGGGAUUUGAGAGAAGCUGCCCCUAGUACGAGAGGACCGGGGUGGACGGACCUCUAGUGUGCCAGUUGUUCUGCCAAGAGCAUUGCUGGGUAGCUACGUCCGGCAGAGAUAACCGCUGAAAGCAUCUAAGUGGGAAACUCGUCUCAAGAUUAGAUCCCUCAUCCGUAUGGAGUAAGACCGCUAGAAGACGACUAGUUUGAUAGGCGGCAGGUGUAAGCGCAGUAAUGUGUUCAGCUUAGCCGUACUAAUGGUCGAGGGCUUACGUUG